UAUAACUACUAGGGGAGCCUAAAUAGGCUGAGAGGAAAGCAAAGAAGCAUUCCGACUCUUAAGAACCUGAUCUGGUUAAGACCAGCGGAGGGAAGUAGUCUACUAUUUUU
This 110-nucleotide non-coding RNA is filed under the name Halobacillus halophilus. Its description in RNAcentral is "TPP sequence". It matches the Rfam family "TPP riboswitch aptamer (THI element)". Rfam says of the family: Vitamin B(1) in its active form thiamin pyrophosphate (TPP) is an essential coenzyme that is synthesised by coupling of pyrimidine and thiazole moieties in bacteria. The previously detected thiamin-regulatory element, thi box was extended, resulting in a new, highly conserved RNA secondary structure, the THI element, which is widely distributed in eubacteria and also occurs in some archaea. The record is from RNAcentral. RNAcentral also lists the same sequence under 1 other name. Lineage: Bacteria; Bacillati; Bacillota; Bacilli; Caryophanales; Bacillaceae.